Molecule: ribosomal RNA, 398 nt
Filed under: uncultured bacterium
Lineage: Bacteria
Description: bacterial SSU rRNA
Rfam family: Bacterial small subunit ribosomal RNA
Source: RNAcentral
GGUACCAUACCAGAAAGCCCCGGCUAACUACGUGCCAGCAGCCGCGGUAAUACGUAGGGGGCGAGCGUUAUCCGGAUUUAUUGGGCGUAAAGCGUGUGUAGGCGGUUUAUUAAGUUUAAGAUUAAAGCCUGGGGCUCAACUCCAGUAUGUCUUAAAAACUGGUAGACUUGAGUACGGUAGAGGCAAACGGAAUUUCUAGUGUAGCGGUGAAAUGCGUAGAUAUUAGAAGGAACACCAGUGGCGAAAGCGGUUUGCUGGGCCGUUACUGACGCUGAGGCACGAAAGCGUGGGGAGCAAAUAGGAUUAGAUACCCUAGUAGUCCACGCCGUAAACGAUGAGUACUAAGUGUUGGAAUUUUCCAGUGCUGAAGCUCACGUAUUAAGUACUCCGCCUGAGUA